This 252-nucleotide ribosomal RNA is filed under the name Klebsiella variicola. RNAcentral's name for it is "partial 23S ribosomal RNA". It matches the Rfam family "Bacterial large subunit ribosomal RNA", at positions 2696 to 2925 of the family's 2925-position model. RNAcentral also lists the same sequence under 1 other name. The record is from RNAcentral. Lineage: Bacteria; Pseudomonadati; Pseudomonadota; Gammaproteobacteria; Enterobacterales; Enterobacteriaceae.
AGUGGACGCAUCACUGGUGUUCGGGUUGUCAUGCCAAUGGCACUGCCCGGUAGCUAAAUGCGGAAGAGAUAAGUGCUGAAAGCAUCUAAGCACGAAACUUGCCCCGAGAUGAGUUCUCCCUGAGACUAUAAGUCUCCUGAAGGAACGUUGAAGACGACGACGUUGAUAGGCCGGGUGUGUAAGCGCAGCGAUGCGUUGAGCUAACCGGUACUAAUGAACCGUGAGGCUUAACCUUACAACGCCGAAGCUGUU